Molecule: ribosomal RNA, 257 nt
Filed under: uncultured bacterium
Lineage: Bacteria
Description: partial 16S ribosomal RNA
Rfam family: Bacterial small subunit ribosomal RNA
Source: RNAcentral
UAUUUCCUACGGGGAGCAGCAGUGGGGAAUAUUGCGCAAUGGGGGCAACCCUGACGCAGCAACGCCGCGUGCAGGAAGAAGGUCUUCGGAUUGUAAACUGUUGUCGCAAGGGAAGAAGACAGUGACGGUACCUUGUGAGGAAGUCACGGCUUACUACGUGCCAGCAGCCGCGGUAAUACGUAGGUGACAAGCGUUGUCCGGAUUUACUGGGUGUAAAGGGCGCGUAGGCGGACUGUCCAGUCAGUCGUGAAAUACCG